GAUGAACGCUGGCGGCGUGCCUAAUACAUGCAAGUCGAGCGAACGGACGAGAAGCUUGCUUCUCUGAUGUUAGCGGCGGACGGGCGAGUAACACGUGGAUAACCUACCUAUAAGACUGGGAUAACUUCGGGAAACCGGAGCUAAUACCGGAUAAUAUUUUGAACCGCAUGGUUCAAAAGUGAAAGACGGUCUUGCUGUCACUUAUAGAUGGAUCCGCGCUGCAUUAGCUAGUUGGUAAGGUAACGGCUUACCAAGGCAACGAUGCAUAGCCGACCUGAGAGGGUGAUCGGCCACACUGGAACUGAGACACGGUCCAGACUCCUACGGGAGGCAGCAGUAGGGAAUCUUCCGCAAUGGGCGAAAGCCUGACGGAGCAACGCCGCGCGAGUGAUGAAGGUCUUCGGAUCGUAAAACUCUGUUAUUAGGGAAGAACAUAUGUGUAAGUAACUGUGCACAUCUUGACGGUACCUAAUCAGAAAGCCACGGCUAACUACGUG
RNAcentral lists this ribosomal RNA (497 nucleotides) under uncultured bacterium. Its description in RNAcentral is "partial 16S ribosomal RNA". It matches the Rfam family "Bacterial small subunit ribosomal RNA", at positions 28 to 507 of the family's 1533-position model. The record is from RNAcentral.